Molecule: non-coding RNA, 168 nt
Filed under: human gut metagenome
Description: Lysine riboswitch
Rfam family: Lysine riboswitch aptamer
About the family: Riboswitches are metabolite binding domains within certain messenger RNAs that serve as precision sensors for their corresponding targets.
Source: RNAcentral
UUUGAUAGAGGCGCAUUCAGUCAAAAGUACCGUAAUUUACCUGAUUUUAGGGGUCGCCAAGGCCUUACGGGAAAGGGGCUAAUGCCGAAGUGGGUAUAGUGGCGUAUACCUUUCUGGCAGUUCGGAUAAUAUCCGCUCUGUUGUCGCAGUAAUGCGGAGUGCUAUCUU